Unclassified non-coding RNA from Macaca fascicularis (crab-eating macaque), 147 nucleotides. It matches the Rfam family "Metazoan signal recognition particle RNA". Rfam says of the family: The signal recognition particle (SRP) is a universally conserved ribonucleoprotein. It is involved in the co-translational targeting of proteins to membranes. The eukaryotic SRP consists of a 300-nucleotide 7S RNA and six proteins: SRPs 72, 68, 54, 19, 14, and 9. Lineage: Eukaryota; Metazoa; Chordata; Mammalia; Primates; Cercopithecidae. The record is from Ensembl.
GCUGGGCACAGUAGCGGGUGCCUGUAAUCCCAGCUACUUGGAGGCUGAGGCAGGAGAACUGCUUGAGCCCGGGAAGUGGAAGUUGCAGUGUGCCGGGAUCACGCCACUGCACUCCAGCCUGGGCAACAGAGCAAGACUCCGUCUCAA